Molecule: non-coding RNA, 45 nt
Organism: Schistosoma mansoni
Lineage: Eukaryota; Metazoa; Platyhelminthes; Trematoda; Strigeidida; Schistosomatidae
Source: Rfam
AUCCGGCUGACGAGUCCUCAGUAGGACGAAGUGCGCAUCGUGGAU